Molecule: long non-coding RNA, 2147 nt
Filed under: Helianthus annuus (common sunflower)
Lineage: Eukaryota; Viridiplantae; Streptophyta; Magnoliopsida; Asterales; Asteraceae
Description: hypothetical non coding rna
Source: RNAcentral
UGUUAUGUUAGAUAUGUUGUUUUUAACGGCAGAAGAUUCUACGAUAUAUAGAACAGGGUCAGCGAUGCUGUAAAACCAAAAAGUUAUGUUAGAUACAUGUAUGUAGAAGGUGGCCUAGAAUGACGUCGGUGGAGCCAAUCACGGCAAAUUCUAUGUGUACAUAAGGUGCAGUGACGGCUUUGAUGGUGUGCAGGGGGACCUCUGCACAAGGCUCGUGAUUUCGAGGGGCACGCGAUUUAAAAAAAAACGAUAAAUAUAUAUGUUAUUUUUUUUUAAAAUAGUAAACACAUACCAAUUCCAAUAUAGGCUCAUUUACAAAUCAUUUUUUAUGGUUUAUAAUUUUGCCCACUUGCCAUUAGGUUUAUUGAGCCAAAUACUAAUUUGAUUUUUUUUAAAUAAUAAUAAAACAUUACGGAAGGGCGCAUCUUUUUGAGCUCGAACAAGGUACAUGAUUUUUAGAGACACCUCUAAUAAGGUGGUUGAUUUGAUUGUGGUUUGGGCUUCCUUACGUUGGUUUGGGGAUUAGGUUGUGAAGGGUGGAUGAAGAUGUUGGAUGUGAUAGAUGUUUAUGCAUGAGAUUUGUAAGUAGAGUCGUAGAUUAACUUUGAAUCGUGAUAAAUACAUAUUAAAAAGUAUGUUUUCGACACAAGUGUACAUUAUUACACGGAAUUUGCAGUAAUGUAAUUCAAAGUCGCACUUAAGUUUUAGAAAACGCCUCGUUUGCGGUGUGCACAUAUAAUGUAUAUACUUGUGGGCUCUUGGGGGGCAAAAGUGAAGUUGCACUAAUUUUAGCGUUAUUUUAAAAGCGGUGGACGGUUAAUCACACAUCAUAUGGUGGCAUUGAUAGCCGAAAGACAAAAGGAUACAUGCACUAAUCGGCCUUUGUCCCGAUUGUUGAGUGUUAUGUGUCUUAUGUCCAAGGUUUGAUGCAAAACUACUAUCAAGUCGGGGGUCUCACUGGAAACAACCUCUCUAUUCCUACGGGGUAGAGGUAAGGCUGUCUACAUCUUACCCUCCUCAUACCCUACCUUAGUUUUGCUAUUGGUGGGAUCAACUGCGUAUGAUGAUGAUGAAUACGACGACUUAAGUUUUAGACACUAAAUCAAAGCAAAACAACUUGGAGAUUUUCAAUGUGAUAUUGUAUGACUGGAAAGCGCAAUACAUAAACACUAAACAAAAUCGACCGGAGGUACUAAUUUACUGAUGAUGGUCAAGUCAGUUAGCGGCAAAAAUUGUUGGUAAUAAAAGGGUUGUUUGGCAACCCCUGAACCAAUAAGUGCUGAACUAGUAAGAGGUCUGACCAAGUAAGAGGCUUUGAACUAAUAAAUGUUGAGUCAGUAAGUGUUGUUUGACUACAGCUCUGAAUAAGUGUGUAAAAUGACACCAAUGGGGUUGUGGUCCAUUGGCAAAGGCAAGGCCUUUAAAAAGAACUAGGUUGGGAAGGGAAGGUCUUGGGUUCAAGUCCCACAGACGACAGGAGAUUAAAGAAAUUAGCCGUUCAAAAAAGUGUGUAAAAUGACUAUUUUACCUCUCUGAACUAUUUUGUUCUGAAUAAAAUAUAUUUGAUGGUUAGCGGGCGGUUGUUGGCGGUGGCGGGUUGUGGUGGCGUUGGUGGUUAGCGGUGUUGUUGGUGGGUGGUGGUGUUGGUUGGUGAUGACGGGUGGUAGUGGUGGAUGGCGCUGGUGGUUGGCGGUGUUGUUGGUGGGUGGUAGUGUUGGUGGUGCUUCGGUGGCGAGUGGUGGUGGUGUUGGUUGACGAUGGUGGCAGUGUUGGUGUGGUGGUUGGCUAAGGCAGGUGGUGGUUGGUGAUGGCGGGUGGUGGCUGAAGUUUUAGGGUUAAAUAGUUUAUUAGAGCUAGGGUAAAUCUAUCUUUUAAUUCUUAAUCAUUUAGCAUGAUCUUUAUUACUUAAUCAUUAAUAGGUCAAUUGAACCAUUAAGAGAUGUUAUUUUGUGAACUAAACACCUUUUAAAAGGCUAUCAAACAACCCCAAGGUACUAUGCAUGCCAUUUUAGGGUGCUCCCCCUUGAACCCAAGAGCAACAAACCCCUUUGACCAUGUCGUUCACUGGGUCUGCAAUCGAAUCAACUUAUACAAGUGUGCCUUUGAACAUUCUAACCAAUAUUAUAACUUUACUUAAAUUCCUUUUA